ACAAUGCAGGACAGAGAGAGAGAGA
This 25-nucleotide non-coding RNA is filed under the name Drosophila melanogaster (fruit fly). The record is from RNAcentral. Lineage: Eukaryota; Metazoa; Arthropoda; Insecta; Diptera; Drosophilidae.